UCCUAACCACUCAUUACUACAUCCUAACCACUCAUUACUACAUCCUAACCACUCAUUACUACAUCCUAACCACUCAUUACUACAUCCCAACCACCCAUUACUACAUCCUAACCACUCAUUACUACAUCCUAACCACUCAUUACUACACCUAACCACUCGUUACUACAUCUAACUACUCAUUACUACAUCCUAACCACUCACUACUACCACCAAAAGACGAAGGUCGGGAGCCAAUCCGUCAGUAUCUUAUCUUGCGCGUGAAAAUAACUUAAUUUGUUAAAAUAAAAAGAGCAUUGUCAGAAAAGUAGGGGUUUGGUUCUACAUACAUGUACCUCACACGUUGGUACAUGUAUAUAAGUACAAUUGUUAAUUUGUUAUCAAUGACGUUGUAAUUUAGCAGCACGAUCCACGAACGAGGAUGCUCAUAAAACUCAUUUGCACCCUUUUCAUUGAGAGAGAGAGAGAGAGAGAGAGAGAGAGAGAGAGAGAGAGAGAGAGAGAGAGAGAGAAGUUGAAUUACUGGCGAUCGUCUGAUAAAUUGAGUGGCGGCCGCCCAUUAAAUUGAUAUGAAUUCUAAACACUGGUCCUUACCGGCUUCCGUACUAUCUAGAUUCACAGUGACCCAGUUUUUGACACGGGCACUAGAAGUUAUGUAAAUAUAUAGUAUGUGCAUGUAUAAAAAAGAUACAUGCAUAUACUAUAUAUUUACUUUAACUUCUAGUGCCCGUGGUUUUUGAUACAGUGUGUGUAAACAUGGAUAUCUAUUUGUAUAUCUUUAUUUAUUGAAACUUAACUAGCUCGUUGACAAAAUAAUCUUACAAAAAUGUUCUGAAAAAUAUGAAAGGGGGUUAUACAGGCAAUAAAAUAAUGAUAUGCAGUUUCUUUUGUAUUCAGAGAUUGAACGCAGCGUAAACAACUGAAGUGUAGGCAUCACGUAGUGCUUCGUUAGUGUUAGUGUCAGUGUGUGCGUGUGGAAGGGGGGUGGGGGGGGGGGGGUGUGUUGACAAAUGUAUGAGAAUUCUUGACCAAAAACAAAUACCCAUAUUUAGCCAAACUUGGAAGAUUUUAGAUGUGGGUGUGGAGGAGGCCCUAUAUCUCCUUAAAUAUGUUUGUUUCCGAUUCCAUCUAGGUAGCAUCUUCGCUAGCCAAGGGUUUUCAGUCCACUCCGCUGACGAAGAUGGCAAGGAAUGAUAAAAAUGGCGGUUUAUCUGCAAAUGAGAGAUCUAUAUUAGAGUCCAAAUUUUGCUGUGAUUUGAUGCAUGAUAAGAAUAUCUAAUAACACAUGUCUGUAAGAUUUAGAUAGACAUUUUAGUUUUCAAAUAAAGAUAUUUAUGAAAAUUUAAAACGUUAAUUGCUAAUUUGAUAAUUUUUAAGAAAUCUAAAAAUUUUUUUUUAAGGAAGUUGUCAAUUACAUGUAAAAGAAGUGUGACAGGGUGAUAUUUUUGUAAAGUAAAUAUAUUAUUUCAUUAUUUAGAUUAUGAAGAUUAGUACAUGACAAAAGUUGUCUUUACUUUUAAUUUAUUUUAUGUACAACUUAAUAGUAUAUGCAAAUAUCUCUAAAGUUAUUUAUAGAUUAUGAGAUCAUAAUGGUCAGUAAUAGCACCAUGUAAAUAUUUAUAGAAUAUAGAACUCUCCAAUUUCAUUGGUUGUCUAAGUUCCCUCUCUUUACUAUUGUUCACAUUUUGAAUUGUCUUCUAAGAGUAUAGAAGUGUUUUCUAGAAGAUUUUCCAGAAGAUUUUCCUAGUAUAAUUCGACUGUAAGUAAAUAUGACUUUCUUUUGAGUUUUUAUGAUCAUAUAUAAUUCAAAGUACAUGUGCUUACUUUGAAUUAAUACAUUUGCUGAAUAGUUAGAUUUUAUGCAUUUUCUAUGAUGGUAAUUGAGUAAGAGUGAUCAUAUGCAUUUCUACAUUAUCUUUAAGUUAUCAAUUACAACUAAAGAGUAAAAUGUAUAUCAGUAUGAAUGUAUAUUAAAACUAUAAAUCAUGAUUGAAUCAAAUGUAGUAGUUUAAAUAUGUUAUGUGUGAAUGUCAGAGUGUUCGAGUAGUAUUCAGCUAUUUUUACUUUUUAUGAUUUCCUUGUGUGAAUAAGUAAUGUAACAUUAGUUUCACACAAGUAUUUGAUAUUUCAUUAUUUCUAUAUAGAUUUAUUACCAGCAUAUAGAAUAUUCUGGACCUGACAAGAAAUUUGGCUCUGUGUCACACAUAGGUAUGACAUUGCAUUUUUUUGUAUAUUCUUUGCAUUAUGAUAAGUUCUGAAUAUUCUUAUCUAGUUGAUUAUUUAGUCUAUGAUUAAUUAAGUGCAAUAGUCAAGUAAGAUAAAUCUAUUUAUUAUUUAUACCACAUAGUAAUCAAUAGUCAAAUAUAUCUUUAUAAGCACUAUUAAGGGGAAUGACUCUUGGUUGUAAACUGUGCUGAGCAAAUGAGUUUUCUAUGUUGAUAUUUUUAUACUAUAUGUUUUAAUUCAUGAUAUAUAUUAUAUGUGAUAUUCUUGUUAUAUAUUUCAGAGUUAAUUAGAAAAGAAUACAAACUCUGAUAGAACC
Long non-coding RNA from Ostrea edulis (European flat oyster), 2539 nucleotides. RefSeq lists it as uncharacterized. The transcript is spliced from 2 exons. NCBI's taxonomy places the organism in Eukaryota, Metazoa, Mollusca, Bivalvia, Ostreida, Ostreidae. The record is from RefSeq and is a predicted model, not a curated record.